Molecule: ribosomal RNA, 488 nt
Filed under: Alternaria sp. Cf1
Lineage: Eukaryota; Fungi; Ascomycota; Dothideomycetes; Pleosporales; Pleosporaceae
Description: eukaryotic LSU rRNA
Rfam family: 5.8S ribosomal RNA (bases 127-280)
Source: RNAcentral
GCCUUGCUGAAUUAUUCACCCUUGUCUUUUGCGUACUUCUUGUUUCCUUGGUGGGUUCGCCCACCACUAGGACAAACAUAAACCUUUUGUAAUUGCAAUCAGCGUCAGUAACAAAUUAAUAAUUACAACUUUCAACAACGGAUCUCUUGGUUCUGGCAUCGAUGAAGAACGCAGCGAAAUGCGAUAAGUAGUGUGAAUUGCAGAAUUCAGUGAAUCAUCGAAUCUUUGAACGCACAUUGCGCCCUUUGGUAUUCCAAAGGGCAUGCCUGUUCGAGCGUCAUUUGUACCCUCAAGCUUUGCUUGGUGUUGGGGCGUUCUUGUCUCUAGCUUUGCUGGAGACUCGCCUUAAAGUAAUUGGCAGCCGGCCUACUGGUUUCGGAGCGCAGCACAAGUCGCACUCUCUAUCAGCAAAGGUCUAGCAUCCAUUAAGCCUUUUUUUCAACUUUUGACCUCGGAUCAGGUAGGGAUACCCGCUGAACUUAAGCAUA